GUUCCAGUCCAACGUUAAUCGGGGCUGGGUGAGUCGACCCCUAAGGCGAGGCCGAAAGGCGUAGUCGAUGGGAAAAUGGUUAAUAUUCCAUUACUUCUGUGUAAUGCGAUGAGAGGACGGAGAAGGCUAAAUCAGCCUGGCGUUGGUUGUCCAGGUGAAAGGAUGUAGGCAUGUAUCUUAGGCAAAUCCGGGGUACUCUAUGCUGAGAUCUGAUAGCAAGCUGUACUUGUACAGCGAAGUGGUUGAUGCCAUGCUUCCAGGAAAAGUCUCUAAGCUUCAGUUACACAGGAAUCGUACCCGAAACCGACACAGGUGGUCAGGUCGAGUAGACCAAGGCGCUUGAGAGAACUCUGCUGAAGGAACUAGGCAAAAUGGUACCGUAACUUCGGGAGAAGGUACGCUGUUGUUGGUGAUGGAACUCGCUUCCUGAGCUGACGACAGCCGCAGAAACCAGGCCGCUGCAACUGUUUAUUAAAAACAUAGCACUCUGCAAACACGAAAGUGGACGUAUAGGGUGUGAUGCCUGCCCGGUGCUGGAAGGUUAAUUGAUGGGGUUAGCGUAAGCGAAGCUCUUGAUCGAAGCCCCAGUAAACGGCGGCCGUAACUAUAACGGUCCUAAGGUAGCGAAAUUCCUUGUCGGGUAAGUUCCGACCUGCACGAAUGGCAUAAUGAUGGCGGCGCUGUCUCCAGCAGAGGCUCAGUGAAAUCGAAAUCGCUGUGAAGAUGCAGUGUACCCGCGGCUAGACGGAAAGACCCCGUGAACCUUUACUGCAGCUUGACACUGAACUUUGACCUUACUUGUGUAGGAUAGGUGGGAGGCUUUGAAGCUGGAACGCUAGUUCCAGUGGAGCCGUCCUUGAAAUACCACCCUGGUAAUGUUGAGGUUCUAACUCUGUCCCGUGAUCCGGGACGAGGACCGUGUCUGGUGGGUAGUUUGACUGGGGCGGUCUCCUCCUAAAGAGUAACGGAGGAGUACGAAGGUGCGCUCAGCGUGGUCGGAAAUCACGCGUAGAGUAUAAAGGCAAAAGCGCGCUUAACUGCGAGACCCACAAGUCGAGCAGGUACGAAAGUAGGUCUUAGUGAUCCGGUGGUUCUGUAUGGAAGGGCCAUCGCUCAACGGAUAAAAGGUACUCUGGGGAUAACAGGCUGAUACCGCCCAAGAGUUCAUAUCGACGGCGGUGUUUGGCACCUCGAUGUCGGCUCAUCUCAUCCUGGGGCUGAAGCAGGUCCCAAGGGUAUGGCUGUUCGCCAUUUAAAGAGGUACGCGAGCUGGGUUUAGAACGUCGUGAGACAGUUCGGUCCCUAUCUACCGUGGGCGCUGGAAAUUUGAGAGGAUCUGCUCCUAGUACGAGAGGACCAGAGUGGACGAACCUCUGGUGUACCGGUUGUGACGCCAGUCGCAUCGCCGGGUAGCUAUGUUCGGAAGGGAUAACCGCUGAAAGCAUCUAAGCGGGAAGCCUACCUCAAGAUAAGAUUUCCCUAGGACUUUAUGUCCUCUAAAGAGCCGUUCGAGACUAGGACGUUGAUAGGUUGGAUGUGGAAGCAUAGUGAUAUGUGAAGCUGACCAAUACUAAUUGCUCGUGAGGCUUGACUAUACAACACCCAAGCAGUUG
Molecule: ribosomal RNA, 1613 nt
Filed under: Acinetobacter baumannii
Lineage: Bacteria; Pseudomonadati; Pseudomonadota; Gammaproteobacteria; Moraxellales; Moraxellaceae
Description: partial 23S ribosomal RNA
Rfam family: Bacterial large subunit ribosomal RNA
Source: RNAcentral